This 253-nucleotide ribosomal RNA is filed under the name uncultured bacterium. Its description in RNAcentral is "partial 16S ribosomal RNA". It matches the Rfam family "Bacterial small subunit ribosomal RNA", at positions 524 to 776 of the family's 1533-position model. The record is from RNAcentral.
UACAGAGGGGGCGAGCGUUAUUCGGAAUUAUUGGGCGUAAAGGGCGCGUAGGCGGCUUUUCAAGUGACGGGUGAAAUCCCUCGGCUUAACCGAGGAACUGCCUGUCAGACUGUAAGGCUUGAGACCGGGAGAGGUGAGUGGAAUUCCCAGUGUAGCGGUGAAAUGCGUAGAUAUUGGGAGGAACACCAGUGGCGAAGGCGGCUCACUGGACCGGUACUGACGCUGAGGCGCGAAAGCGUGGGGAGCAAACAGG